AUGAACGCUGGCGGCGUGCCUAAUACAUGCAAGUCGAGCGAACAGACGAGGAGCUUGCUCCUCUGACGUUCGCGGCGGACGGGUGAGUAACACGUGGAUAACCUACCUAUAAGACUGGGAUAACUUCGGGAAACCGGAGCUAAUACCGGAUAAUAUAUUGAACCGCAUGGUUCAAUAGUGAAAGACGGUUUUGCUGUCACUUAUAGAUGGAUCCGCGCCGCAUUAGCUAGUUGGUAAGGUAACGGCUUGCCAAGGCAACGAUGCGUAGCCGACCUGAGAGGGUGAUCGGCCACACUGGAACUGAGACACGGUCCAGACUCCUACGGGAGGCAGCAGUAGGGAAUCUUCCGCAAUGGGCGAAAGCUUGACGGAGCAACGCCGCGUGAGUGAUGAAGGUCUUCGGAUCGUAAAACUCUGUUAUUAGGGAAGAACAAAUGUGUAAGUAACUAUGCACGUCUUGACGGUACCUAAUCAGAAAGCCACGGCUAACUACGUG
This 496-nucleotide ribosomal RNA is filed under the name uncultured bacterium. RNAcentral describes it as "partial 16S ribosomal RNA". It matches the Rfam family "Bacterial small subunit ribosomal RNA", at positions 29 to 507 of the family's 1533-position model. The record is from RNAcentral.